AGAGUUUGAUCCUGGCUCAGAUUGAACGCUGGCGGCAGGCCUAACACAUGCAAGUCGAGCGGAUGACGGGAGCUUGCUCCUUGAUUCAGCGGCGGACGGGUGAGUAAUGCCUAGGAAUCUGCCUGGUAGUGGGGGACAACGUUUCGAAAGGAACGCUAAUACCGCAUACGUCCUACGGGAGAAAGCAGGGGACCUUCGGGCCUUGCGCUAUCAGAUGAGCCUAGGUCGGAUUAGCUAGUUGGUGAGGUAAUGGCUCACCAAGGCGACGAUCCGUAACUGGUCUGAGAGGAUGAUCAGUCACACUGGAACUGAGACACGGUCCAGACUCCUACGGGAGGCAGCAGUGGGGAAUAUUGGACAAUGGGCGAAAGCCUGAUCCAGCCAUGCCGCGUGUGUGAAGAAGGUCUUCGGAUUGUAAAGCACUUUAAGUUGGGAGGAAGGGCAGUAAGCUAAUACCUUGCUGUUUUGACGUUACCGACAGAAUAAGCACCGGCUAACUCUGUGCCAGCAGCCGCGGU
RNAcentral lists this ribosomal RNA (518 nucleotides) under Pseudomonas sp. Hugh2767. RNAcentral describes it as "bacterial SSU rRNA". It matches the Rfam family "Bacterial small subunit ribosomal RNA", at positions 8 to 521 of the family's 1533-position model. The record is from RNAcentral. Lineage: Bacteria; Pseudomonadati; Pseudomonadota; Gammaproteobacteria; Pseudomonadales; Pseudomonadaceae.